AGGGUGAGUCGACCCCUAAGGCGAGGCCGAAAGGCGUAGUCGAUGGGAAACAGGUUAAUAUUCCUGUACUUGGUGUUACUGCGAAGGGGGGACGGAGAAGGCUAUGUUGGCCGGGCGACGGUUGUCCCGGUUUAAGCGUGUAGGCUGGUUUUCCAGGCAAAUCCGGAAAACCAAGGCUGAGGCGUGAUGACGAGGCACUACGGUGCUGAAGCGACAAAUGCCCUGCUUCCAGGAAAAGCCUCUAAGCAUCAGGUAACAUCAAAUCGUACCCCAAACCGACACAGGUGGUCAGGUAGAGAAUACCAAGGCGCUUGAGAGAACUCGGGUGAAGGAACUAGGCAAAAUGGUGCCGUAACUUCGGGAGAAGGCACGCUGAUAUGUAGGUGAAGCGACUUGCUCGUGGAGCUGAAAUCAGUCGAAGAUACCAGCUGGCUGCAACUGUUUAUUAAAAACACAGCACUGUGCAAACACGAAAGUGGACGUAUACGGUGUGACGCCUGCCCGGUGCCGGAAGGUUAAUUGAUGGGGUUAGCGGCAACGCGAAGCUCUUGAUCGAAGCCCCGGUAAACGGCGGCCGUAACUAUAACGGUCCUAAGGUAGCGAAAUUCCUUGUCGGGUAAGUUCCGACCUGCACGAAUGGCGUAAUGAUGGCCAGGCUGUCUCCACCCGAGACUCAGUGAAAUUGAACUCGCUGUGAAGAUGCAGUGUACCCGCGGCAAGACGGAAAGACCCCGUGAACCUUUACUAUAGCUUGACACUGAACAUUGAGCCUUGAUGUGUAGGAUAGGUGGGAGGCUUUGAAGUGUGGACGCCAGUCUGCAUGGAGCCGACCUUGAAAUACCACCCUUUAAUGUUUGAUGUUCUAACGUUGGCCCGUAAUCCGGGUUGCGGACAGUGUCUGGUGGGUAGUUUGACUGGGGCGGUCUCCUCCUAAAGAGUAACGGAGGAGCACGAAGGUUGGCUAAUCCUGGUCGGACAUCAGGAGGUUAGUGCAAUGGCAUAAGCCAGCUUGACUGCGAGCGUGACGGCGCGAGCAGGUGCGAAAGCAGGUCAUAGUGAUCCGGUGGUUCUGAAUGGAAGGGCCAUCGCUCAACGGAUAAAAGGUACUCCGGGGAUAACAGGCUGAUACCGCCCAAGAGUUCAUAUCGACGGCGGUGUUUGGCACCUCGAUGUCGGCUCAUCACAUCCUGGGGCUGAAGUAGGUCCCAAGGGUAUGGCUGUUCGCCAUUUAAAGUGGUACGCGAGCUGGGUUUAGAACGUCGUGAGACAGUUCGGUCCCUAUCUGCCGUGGGCGCUGGAGAACUGAGGGGGGCUGCUCCUAGUACGAGAGGACCGGAGUGGACGCAUCACUGGUGUUCGGGUUGUCAUGCCAAUGGCACUGCCCGGUAGCUAAAUGCGGAAGAGAUAAGUGCUGAAAGCAUCUAAGCACGAAACUUGCCCCGAGAUGAGUUCUCCCUGACUCCUUGAGAGUCCUGAAGGAACGUUGAAGACGACGACGUUGAUAGGCCGGGUGUGUAAGCGCAGCGAUGCGUUGAGCUAACCGGUACUAAUGAACCGUGAGGCUUAACCUUACAACGCCGAAG
This 1583-nucleotide ribosomal RNA is filed under the name Escherichia coli. Its description in RNAcentral is "partial 23S ribosomal RNA". It matches the Rfam family "Bacterial large subunit ribosomal RNA", at positions 1376 to 2925 of the family's 2925-position model. The record is from RNAcentral. Lineage: Bacteria; Pseudomonadati; Pseudomonadota; Gammaproteobacteria; Enterobacterales; Enterobacteriaceae.